GUGGGGAAUCUUGCGCAAUGGGCGAAAGCCUGACGCAGCCAUGCCGCGUGAAUGAUGAAGGUCUUAGGAUUGUAAAAUUCUUUCACCGGGGACGAUAAUGACGGUACCCGGAGAAGAAGCUCCGGCUAACUUCGUGCCAGCAGCCGCGGUAAUACGAAGGGGGCUAGUGUUGCUCGGAAUUACUGGGCGUAAAGGGCGCGUAGGCGGACAGCUUAGUCAGAGGUGAAAGCCCAGGGCUCAACCUUGGAAUUGCCUUUGAUACUGGCUGUCUUGAGUUUGGGAGAGGUGAGUGGAACUCCGAGUGUAGAGGUGAAAUUCGUAGAUAUUCGGAAGAACACCAGUGGCGAAGGCGACUCACUGGCCCAAUACUGACGCUGAGGCGCGAAAGCGUGGGGAGCAAACAGGAUUAGAAACCCUUGUAGUCC
Molecule: ribosomal RNA, 425 nt
Filed under: uncultured bacterium
Lineage: Bacteria
Description: partial 16S ribosomal RNA
Rfam family: Bacterial small subunit ribosomal RNA
Source: RNAcentral